UGUAUGUUAUAGUGAACGUCAGAAAAUGAACCUUCUUUCUUUCGUUUGCAAUUAAGCGCAUUGUUCUGGCUUUGCAACUUUUUGAGCUGUGAGCGUUUCCGCAAACUCAUUUUUUUACAAAAUUAUUUGAGCAGGAAUUCUUUGCGGGGGGGGAGGUAAGGAGUGAAUGUUGAAUCGAGUGUUGAUUUUGUUCACAAAAUAUGCGGUCAUGUCUGUGCCAAUAGUAAAUUUACUCUUGAAUUUCAGGUGGAAAUUAAGAUUUGCAGGACAAGGCAGGGCAGCUCGAGGUUAGAGUGGCGCAGCAGGAUACAGUCAUGGCUCCCUUAGACAAGAGCAAGAGAAAACUUUGCGACGAGAGCACCCGGUCGACGGAAACACGCCACUGGCGGACCCGGUUGACGGAAACGAGCCACUGCCUGACCCCGGCGACGAGAGCGCACCACCACCUAUUCUACUCCGACGAGCCGCCUUCAGCCGAGGACUCCAACAUGUUCAAAUGCUCACACACUUACUGCAAUUACACAUCCUCCAGAAAAUAUAAUUUGAAAACGCGCACAUCAACGCAAUACACACACAUGAACACAACAUAUACAGAUGCCAAUGCGGAGAAGAAGACAUCCUGCCUUCGAAUAUGACUGUGCAUAAAAAAAUGUGCCAGAGAACGAUUAUGAAGAUCUUCUUGGGUGGAGCCACCCAACAGCCCCAGCAACCGUUUGGACGAAGAUUCGGAUCAAGACGUGGAUUUUGGACAUCGAUGAGCGCACCCUCCCCUACAGCGAACAUGGAUAUCCAUGAGCGAACCAUCUCCUACACGUAGAACUGGUUAUUUAGACGCAAUUAAUUUGUUGUAGUGCGGGUAUAAGUACAUUAUUAGGUCAGCAUUUAAAGCCGAUUCUUUUCAACGAAAUAUUUCGGAAAGGGAAUGCGUAGAUUUUGGCGAAUAGCCAAUUCUUCCAUUUGAGCUAAAAAAGCUCUAAGUUCCGGUUUGGAUGCUCUGGAACCCAACAACUGCUCCUGUAACUAACAAAUUUUCGACUAACAGCGUUGCUUUGCAAAUUUCGGCACUCGCCACUUUGUUGCAUGACGGCUCUUACUUUCUGUUUGCUAUAAUUUUUAACAUGGUAUAUUCAUUUUAUAGAAACCGAUUUUAAAACGAAGUUCAACGAAACUCGUUUUCAAACCCAAUCCUGAACUAAUGAAGCUUACAGAUUCAAAAAUAAGAACACUGCAGGACUUCGAAGUUGAGAGAACCAGCAAUGCAUCAUGCUCCACCUGCAUCACGCCCUUCCCGCUCGGCUCGUUCGCAUCGUUCAACAGCCUCGAGUACUCAAGUCCGCACGAUGUCGCCUUGCGGAAAAGAGGGCCAUGUUAAAGGCGAAUGAGCUAGAGUUUGAAGAAAAAAUUGGCCGCAAUUCUUGGACGCAAGCAGAGAGUAACUUAGAGUUCCAAACACCCAUCAACCCAGGCAGCAGCUUCGUCGCCUGCGCCUAGUUAAUAAAGCACUUUACUAGGAAAUAAUUAGCGCCUUGUAGCACGUUCAUAAGCAUACAACAUUCGCAUUAUUAUUAUUAACCACCUGAAUAACGAAUAGUAGACUGCAUAUGGCCGAGACGUGAUAUCGUUUCGAGACCAGCACAAAUCUUCGCUGUUGUCCCGCUGCCGUGCGUGAAUUGGGCAAUGGGCAGACUUCUCGACGCCCGCAGCUUGAGAGACUGGCUUUUUCAUUUAAGGAUUCCGAUUAAAUGCUUCUUACAGUAAAACGCUUCAAAUUUACGGGAGCAACCAUAAUGAUCUGACUUGCUAAUGUAAUGUUUGUUGCCAUCUUUUCUUCACGUCCGCGGUCAGAGAAAUUACCCUCGAGCCCAUUCGCUCGUCCGAUCAUACUAAUUUAGACUAUUCACACCCGUGUAUGGAGGUGUAAAGCUCUUAAUAUCGGCGGCUGAUUGGUGGUCUUACGGAAACUUGCUAGGCAUUCAGUGCCGAUUGGUGUACAAAAUUUGGGUGCACGGCUACGCUCCCAAAGCAGUAAUGUCUCGUCAACCCAAUGGAGAAAGAGACCAACUGCGUAACACGGGAUGGCUGUUGUUUACAGCACAAGGUCGCCUGAAAUAGAGGUUUCCAGUCUGAUGAACGAUGAAACAGGUUCA
Long non-coding RNA from Hyalella azteca, 2147 nucleotides. RefSeq lists it as uncharacterized. Lineage: Eukaryota; Metazoa; Arthropoda; Malacostraca; Amphipoda; Hyalellidae. The record is from RefSeq and is a predicted model, not a curated record. The transcript is spliced from 4 exons.